RNAcentral lists this transfer RNA (68 nucleotides) under Macrobrachium rosenbergii (giant freshwater prawn). RNAcentral's name for it is "tRNA-Gln". The record is from RNAcentral. Lineage: Eukaryota; Metazoa; Arthropoda; Malacostraca; Decapoda; Palaemonidae.
UAUGUUUUAGUGUAAAAGCACGUGAAGUUUUGAUCUUUGAGGGGAUGGUGUAAUUCCAUUAAAUAUAG